Molecule: long non-coding RNA, 763 nt
Filed under: Capra hircus (goat)
Lineage: Eukaryota; Metazoa; Chordata; Mammalia; Artiodactyla; Bovidae
Description: lncRNA (ENSCHIG00000007329.1)
Source: RNAcentral
AAAAGAAAGAUACAAUCAAAGUUAACCCUGAUUCAUAUGCCUUAAGCCUAGGUAGUUAACAGUGGACACUUAUCAAUAGGCCUGUGGUCAUACCCCAAUAAGCAUAAUGGAAUUUAUGAUUCUAUUCAGUUACACAGAUAAUUAGGGUAUUCUUUUAGGCAGCAGAGAGUCUAGGUACGAGCCCUGGGGCUCUUCCAUCCAGGGGGCCUGGUUUUCCAGUUGGUAUGUCGUUUCCAUAGAUACUGGGCAUAGAGCUCAAAGUCCACAGUCCGGCCCAAGAUGGAGUCCUGCUUUCAAGAUGGAGCCUGCGGCCUAUAUGCUCCCCACUGCAGUUAAAGUUGCAGGUGUCACUCCCUGGAUCCUCCACAUGAGGGUGAAGAGAGCAUACCACGCAGACCCAGAGGACGCUGUGCGGACUACACAACAGGACCCCACUGAUCCCCGUGAAACCAAGAUCAUCUUAAAGAAGAAACAGAGAUGAAGCUCUACAAUCAACUGCUGCUACAAGGACUUGCUGACCCAAGGAGGAGAAGGUGAAAAUGAGCAGGACCACGUAAGGAGAAGCUCCAGUCAUCAUGUCAAGACACAAUCUCUUUCUUCAGAGUACACACUCCUUCAAGCUUCCAGCUCAAGUCAAAGAGUUAUUCAGGAGUCCAUGAAAGAGGCAGCCAAGUAAGGUCAGUUGCUAGUAGACGGAUCUACUCACUUCAGCUGAGGAUUCUCAUGUAAAAAUAUGGGUGUGGUGAGAGGAUGACCUUUCAUU